CGUCAGCUCGUGUUGUGAAAUGUUGGGUUAAGUCCCGCAACGAGCGCAACCCUUAUCCUUUGUUGCCAGCGGUUCGGCCGGGAACUCAAAGGAGACUGCCAGUGAUAAACUGGAGGAAGGUGGGGAUGACGUCAAGUCAUCAUGGCCCUUACGAGUAGGGCUACACACGUGCUACAAUGGCGUAUACAAAGAGAAGCGAACUUGCGAGAGUAAGCGGACCUCAUAAAGUACGUCGUAGUCCGGAUUGGAGUCUGCAACUCGACUCCAUGAAGUCGGAAUCGCUAGUAAUCGUAGAUCAGAAUGCUACGGUGAAUACGUUCCCGGGCCUUGUACACACCGCCCGUCACACCAUGGGAGUGGGUUGCAAAAGAAGUAGGUAGCUUAACCUUCGGGAGGGCGCUUACC
Molecule: ribosomal RNA, 405 nt
Filed under: Serratia odorifera
Lineage: Bacteria; Pseudomonadati; Pseudomonadota; Gammaproteobacteria; Enterobacterales; Yersiniaceae
Description: bacterial SSU rRNA
Rfam family: Bacterial small subunit ribosomal RNA
Source: RNAcentral